This 73-nucleotide transfer RNA is filed under the name Cupriavidus smyrnaeus. RNAcentral describes it as "Cupriavidus sp. TA19 tRNA-Gly". Lineage: Bacteria; Pseudomonadati; Pseudomonadota; Betaproteobacteria; Burkholderiales; Burkholderiaceae. The record is from RNAcentral.
UGCCGGGCUGGCCGAUGCCGCGCUGCGCGUUGCCGGCGAGCAUCCGGCGCUGUUCGAUAGCGCGGCCCGGCAG